UCAUUGCAGGAUGUGGGCGGUUGCAGACGUUGAAUAAGCAAUUUUACAUCUGCUAAAAUAACAAAGUGCAAGAACAAGCAUGUGGUCAGGUAGAUACUUGAGAAGACAGAAGUGUCUGCAGAAGAGAAGUCUAUUUUCUACUGAACGGAAGUUUUAAAACUUUAAUUAGAGAGGUUCAUUAAUUGAUUCGUGCAUAAAUCUUCUGGGAGGCAUUUACUUGAUAUGAAUGAAUUUAAAACAUUUUCAAGGUAAUUCAAAUUACAUUGAUUAUAAGUCAGAUAUAUAGAUGUAACUGAUCAGCAGGUUCAUUAUUCUUAUCAUCAGCUGACGGCUAUUUAUUUAAAAUAAAUGUCAAAAUGACUUAAAUCUAAUCUAAAAUGAUAUAAUAUUGUACAAAAUGACUUAGAUUUCAUCCAAAAUGACCUAAAAGCGCAUCUUAAUUGACUUAAAAUUUGACACUUGUCCUAAACAAGUUUUAAAACUGUCCAAAGGGACUUAAAAUAUCUUUUAAAAUGAGUUUAAAAAAUCCCAAAUGACUUAAACUGUCUAAAACAAUUUGAGAUCCGUCCAACGUGAGAUAAAAUCUGUUCAAAAUGUUGUGAAAUGUGCCUGAAAUGAUUUGAAACUCGUCCAGAAUUACUUACAUAACAUUUGUCUCGAGUUAAAAUUAGUUUAUGAUUCAAACUAUGUCCAGAAUUAGUUUUAGAACGACCUGAAAUGUGUCCAAAGUGACUUGGAAUGAUCAAAAGUCCUCCAUAUGACAAAACACUUACUGUGUUUGAACAGUUUAAAAUGAGAAACGGUGAGGACAAAUGAGACAGGAGGUAAAAGUAAUAACUAAUAUAAAUAUUUCUGCUUUAAAUCAUUUGCAAACUGUUCAGAAAAGACUAACAGCUGUUUACAUCAUACUGAGAAAAGUUCCGUUUGGUUUUGUGCAGACGGUGGUUUCUAUUCGUGUCAAUGCAACACGUUCGAUAUAUGAUCCGAGGUUCUGAGGUUAUAAAGGCAGAGCUCAAGAAGUAAAGUCAUUGUGGGUUGAACUGAGCAUCGAUCAGAGAACUCCUCCAGAGAACUUCUCCACCCGGCGAAGAAGUCCGUCAGAUUCAUCUGAGCCCCGUUCCUCUGCACAAGGAUGAUCAUGAGGAGGAUCAUGAGGAGGAUCUAACCAGCGUCUGGACAAACACCUGAAGAAAACCGGUCUCCACUCAGUGUGAAGACGACCCUGAAGGACGUGGCGGCGUGGUGGUUUAUGGCGAGGAGACCUUCCCCGCGCCGAUCCAACGGGACCAGAACGAGCCGACCACCUCUGCUGGACAACCAGAACUUCACAGUUCUGUGCAGGUUUUCCAGUGGCCAAGUCACAUGACUGACGAUCUGAUGGGAGACUCUGAAGCUCCAGAGGCCGACAGCCUUGAAAAGCAAGAAGAGGACGACUAAGGACAUCAAACCAAAGUCGCAAAGAGAUUCGUAACACCACCUGAUUGUCUUAAAAGUGUUUAAUAACUGGAAGACUUUCUGAAGAGGACAUCGCGGUUUAACGUCGAGGUGGUUUUAAAUGGAACAACCUGCCGGUGUCCACGUAAAGUUUCUUCUGUUCGCAUGGUCACACUAAAGAGAACAGAGGGAACCUUUAACAUCACGUUUAUAGCGUUUUUUAUUAUCACUAUUAUUAUUUUGUAUGUCGUAGAGCUUUACACUUUCCAGCAGAUGCCUUCAGUGACUCUAAUGGUGGAAUGACUGUUGCAAAAAGAAAGAAAAAAACAAAACAUGAAAAUAUAUAUAUUUGGAGUCCCUUUCAACACUGAUCAAGUUUUUUUAAUCUUUGGAUGCAUUAAAGUUGUAGCGUGACAUGUUUAAAUUAACUUAAUUCUCAUCAUGUUGUCAAACUAAACAUCGAACAGCUUUAAUAUUUAAUAUCUAAUAUUUAUUGGUUUCUCCGACCACAGUCCACAGUUUAAACUUCUGUUUAAUUACUAAUUAUCUGUGAUGUUUUUUUUUCUGUCAGUUCUUGAGAAGUUGAUGUAAAAUCCACUACUUUGCUUC
Long non-coding RNA from Stegastes partitus (bicolor damselfish), 2043 nucleotides. RefSeq lists it as uncharacterized. Lineage: Eukaryota; Metazoa; Chordata; Actinopteri; Pomacentridae. The record is from RefSeq and is a predicted model, not a curated record. The transcript is spliced from 5 exons.